Molecule: ribosomal RNA, 392 nt
Filed under: uncultured bacterium
Lineage: Bacteria
Description: partial 16S ribosomal RNA
Rfam family: Bacterial small subunit ribosomal RNA
Source: RNAcentral
AUACGGAGGAUCCGAGCGUUAUCCGGAUUUAUUGGGUUUAAAGGGUGCGCAGGCGGCCAUUUAAGUCAGCGGUUAAAUCGUGGGGCUCAACCCCAUUCUGCCGUUGAUACUGGGUGGCUUGAUUGCGGUCGAGGUUGGCGGAAUUUGUGGUGUAGCGGUGAAAUGCAUAGAUAUCACGAGGAACUCCGAUUGCGCAGGCAGCUUACUAAACCAUAACUGACGCUCAGGCACGAAGGCGUGGGGAUCAAACAGGAUUAGAUACCCUGGUAGUCCACGCAGUAAACGAUGAUUACUAGCUGUUUGCGAUACAAUGUAAGCGGCUGAGCGAAAGCGUUAAGUAAUCCACCUGGGGAGUACGUUCGCAAGAAUGAAACUCAAAGGAAUUGACGGGG